UGGCCUUGACCUCGACCUGCAGCCGGCGAGGUUACCCAACACGGAUUGGAAAUCAUGGUUAGAAUUAAUUGUAUACAUAUACAUAUACAUAUACAUAUACAUAUACAUAUACAUAUACAUAUACAUAUACAUAUACAUAUACAUAUACAUAUACACACACAUAUACAUAUACAUAUACACAUAUACGUCCAUAUACAUAUACACAUACACUGCAUACACACACAUAUACAUAUACAUAUACAUAUACAUAUACAUAUACAUAUACAAGAAGAUCAGUGUUGCUUACAAAUUACGCUUGUUUCGGAAUCUGUACUAACUGCAUGAGCACACACAUGCAUCAGUUAUUUCAAUUUAACAAAAAUAUUCGUAUACAAUACAAACAUCAAACAAUGGCACAUUGGCGUCAUUCUUUGAAUAUUUUCAAUGUUCAUGCACACACACAAUAUAUACAGACGCACCUGCAACAGAAGUCCACAGGCAGAGAAAAAUGAAGAAGAGUCUUGUUUGGUAUAACUUUCCUCAGGCUUUCCAAAAGGUUAUUUUUUACGUCAAUUUAACGAUAUAUCCUAAAUAUUCUGCUGAGUGUUGAUUACUCCAGCAUUCUUUCUUGAUAUAUGUCAACUGAUACUUCACAAUCUUGCUAGAUGACGAUUUUGACUUUACUCUAACUCAGC
This is a non-coding RNA of Paramuricea clavata, 674 nucleotides long. The record is from the annotation of a GenBank genome assembly. NCBI's taxonomy places the organism in Eukaryota, Metazoa, Cnidaria, Anthozoa, Malacalcyonacea, Plexauridae.